Molecule: long non-coding RNA, 346 nt
Organism: Ailuropoda melanoleuca (giant panda)
Lineage: Eukaryota; Metazoa; Chordata; Mammalia; Carnivora; Ursidae
Exons: 3
Source: RefSeq, a predicted model, not a curated record
UAAGAAGAGCUAGCACUGUCUACUCUCACUGAAAGCCCUCUGCUUGAUAGCUUUGAAGAAAGCAAGAGGAGGCAAAAAAGGAAGUAGGAAGAGGUGAACUUCUUCCAUUCAUGGUCUAAGAAUCAAUGCCACCAUGAACAUCUUUGAGCAAGAACAUCUAGAAGUGGAACUGCUGGGUCAGAGGGUCAGCUUUAACUUUCCAGCCACAACAAUAACAGAUACCAUCACAGCAGAGAGCCCAUCCACCCCUCCGAGAGAGACCCGAGGAUAAGCCAUAGUAAAACAGCACAUGAUUGUCCUUCACCUCCGGCAGAAGGUGCGGCUGUGAGGAAACGUCAAGGGCAAU